Molecule: long non-coding RNA, 2863 nt
Organism: Brassica napus (rape)
Lineage: Eukaryota; Viridiplantae; Streptophyta; Magnoliopsida; Brassicales; Brassicaceae
Exons: 2
Source: RefSeq, a predicted model, not a curated record
UCUAGGGUUCCUCUCAUCGUCUUUUUCUUUCUGUAAUUAGGUGGACUGAAUGGAAUUUCUAGACGUCUUGAGGAAUCUCUUUAGCUAGCUCCGUUCGUGUCGUUUUGUCUCGGAUUCUUCUCCUUAGGACCGUUACAGGAUUCAUUGAUUCAACGCCAUUGAAGACCUUCUUUAUUCCUUAGCCCCACUCCAAUCAUAAUUACUCAUUAAAUGCAUUUUACCUCUCUUCGAGGCGGUGGCGAUCCAGUUAUAAAAAGGUAAGCCUUGAACAUCAUCCUCACAAAUCCUCAUCCAGUUAUAAAACGGUAAAACUAGAAACUCUUUUUUUCCAGUAGAAUGGCAAACUCAUCGAUUCUCCUCGCUGAGGCUGACUGGCCGAUGUUCUUUAAAGCAUUUGCCUGCUGAGAUCGAGAUCUAUUACUACUUCGGCUUUCUUUUCCGGACUGAUUAGAAAAAGUAAGAGGUUACUUCUUUAUUUCAGUGGGGUUUCGUUGAGAUAAUUUGUUAUUAAUCUUGAUGUCUUCAUAUUUCCAAAGUGUUUUGCUUUUUCUCCUUUAGGCCAAAUCUUGCUUUUCAGCUAGCAAUUGGUUACCUCAACAGCUUAAACAAGAGAACCUUUUUUAUAUAUAUAGAUUCUUUGAGCUAUGAGAAGCAUGGUGAUCUUGCUGAGAUUAGUGGUACUCAGUCCGUCCUUGGGCCAUUCUGCGACACUGCGUCAUGGUGCGAUGGGCAGAUACGUUUUGUGAUAAUUGUUAUAAACACUAGAAACUCUUGAUUCAGCUUUUGUUUUGGUUAUUCGAGGUGUCAUUUUGUGGGUGCAGGAAAAACUUCUGAAUCUCUUGCUUCGUAACUACCUGCACUACAUCCUUUAUGACCAAGUAGAGAAGUUGAGAUCAAAAGCACCAAGAUUUGAGGCACAUUCUAACCAACAUGUUUAUCUUUUAGUAGUUAUUCUUUCAUACCAAUUCGUUAGUGUAACUUUCUAGAUUAUAGAUAUAUCGUUUAUAUGAUCUCUUACUUAUGCUAACCUUUCUACAGUCAAUUUUUUCUUCAAAUACGGUGUUUAUAUGUAAGACCAUUGGGUUUGAUUUUUUUCUCUUAUCAGUACUAGCUGUUUUUGUUUCAUGGGACAUCUUCAACUAUUGUAUCUAAUAUGAUAUUCACAUACGCACUCCGGUCAUGCUGGUCGUACCAUAUAUAUGUGUAUAUUUAUAUCUAAAAUGCAAAAAGGUCGAUUGAAUACUGAUAAAACAGGUCUGAUGUGAGAAAAAGACAUGUAUAUGGCAGAUGAAGGGAACCUAAAAGUGAGAAGAGACAAGAGAUACACGAACGUGUUGAAUUUAUAGCUGCUGUCUUUUCAGUUUUCACCAGAAGAAUAGUGUAAGCAUCAAUGAGGAAUCUUAUUCUCCAGCAAAGAAGCUUAAAAAAGGUCCAGACUGCACGAGGUCGUAUUUUAAAUUUACAGCCAUUGCCUGAUUUAUAUGUUCUAGAUGUAAAUUUUUCUGUGGUCGUUUAUUUUAAAAGUUUGUUACUUAGUUUGGUUUUUGUCUUAUUUUUUCAUUUGUAAAUGUUUUCCCAUAAAUUGGUGAGGCGGACAAUAGCACUUUGUUCUUUUGGUUAAUUUUCAGUAAAUAUACUCUUUUUCAUGAUUUCUAUUUAAAUAUUUUGGAUGGGCAAACAUAAACUUAUUUGUCUUUUAGUUUCGAUCAAGAGAAGAGUAGUACAUUCGAUAUAGUAUUUCUGAAUAUUUGAUUUUAGUGAGUUUGUAGAUGAUUUUGAAUGAAUUAGAAAAGUAGUGAUUUAGUUAAAAUACUAAACAAAAUCAUCUGAUUUAAAAUUUGUUUUUUUAAUAAAAAAGUUGUACCAAAAUACUUUAGAAUCAUCAAAAUCUCAAAAAUCCAUUAGUUAAACUAUUUUUAAUAAUAUAAAUUUUAAAAUAAAAUAUAAAAUUCUAAAUUUAAUAACACAAUUUGUAUAAAAAGUUAAAACUCAUGUUAGGAAAAAAUAUAAACAUUUUUCUUAAUAAAAAUUAUUUCAAAUAUAUUUGUAAACAUUAACUAUCUAUAUUAAAUCUUUAAUAUAAUUAAAUGGCAAACAGAAGAAGAUAAUACCAGUGAGUUUAAGAAACAAACGUUUAAGAACAGAAAUUAAUUCAUAAUUUGUGUGUUAUAGAAAUUUCAUUCGGCUUAUUCAUAAUAAAGGUAGAACCAACUUUUUAAAAUGUAAAACAAUUGCAUAUUCAUGAAAAUCUUAAUGGUAAGAUGAAUCAUAUGAUUUCUGGUAAAAUUAACAAAAUAUAAAUAAUGAAAGCUAAUAUUAUUUUAAGCCUAGCAAAAUUUAAAUUAUUAGAUGGAAACUAAAAAUAAAAAUAUCUUAUAUUGAUUGUUGUAUUUGUAAAGUAACAAACCAAGACCAAAAAAUUUUGGACGAAAAAAUAAUACUCAUUAGACCCACAAACCACGUACUUCCAAGCCCAACACAAAGAAAUCCUAAUUUAACCAACCAACAUGUAUAUGCAUAACCAAUAACAUUUAAUCAAGAAACCCACAUAAACCUCACCCAAACUUAUAUGUAGUAUUUUAUAUGCUCCGAACUCUUAAAACAAUACACAGUCACCCCUGUAUAACGUACAUGAUCUAAAUAAUAAUAAACCAUCUACGCCCUAACAUACAUUAAAACAUCAAAGUUGUUGUUGACAAAAAAAAACAUCAAAGUUGUUAUAAUCUUACUUUCAAAUCUUAACAUAAAAAUACAACAUAGUUAUAUACAUUAUACGGCCAUCAAAUUGUAUAUGAAUAAUAACAUGUUUAAAUCAUUGGUCAAACUUCUUUUUAAAAAAUUGUAUGUAUAUUAAACCAAAAUU